GGCUCCGUGGCGUAAUGGUGGCGCGUCGGAUUCCAAAGAAGAAAGCAUCCGAAGGCUGUGGGUUCAAUCCCCACCGGGGUCA
Molecule: transfer RNA, 82 nt
Organism: Volvox carteri f. nagariensis
Lineage: Eukaryota; Viridiplantae; Chlorophyta; Chlorophyceae; Chlamydomonadales; Volvocaceae
Rfam family: tRNA
About the family: Transfer RNA (tRNA) molecules are approximately 80 nucleotides in length. Their secondary structure includes four short double-helical elements and three loops (D, anti-codon, and T loops).
Source: Rfam